GGUUGAUCCUGCCAGUAGUUAUAUGCUUGUCUCAAAGAUUAAGCCAUGCAUGUCUAAGUACAAACUAUAUCUUAUAGUGAAACCGCAAAAGGCUCAGUACAACAGCUAUUAUUUAUUUGAUUAUAAAAACAGUUACUUGGAUAACUGUGGUAAUUCCAGAGCUAAUACAUGCAAACAACAUGUCACACGGUGCUUGCAUUGUGAGACAUGUGCUUUUAUUAGAUUAAAACCAUAUCGACUUUCGGGUUGAUUACCUUUAGAUGAAUCUGGAUAAUUUUGGCUGAUCGUAUGGU
Molecule: ribosomal RNA, 293 nt
Filed under: uncultured eukaryote
Lineage: Eukaryota
Description: partial 18S ribosomal RNA
Rfam family: Eukaryotic small subunit ribosomal RNA
Source: RNAcentral